RNAcentral lists this ribosomal RNA (543 nucleotides) under uncultured archaeon. RNAcentral's name for it is "bacterial SSU rRNA". It matches the Rfam family "Archaeal small subunit ribosomal RNA", at positions 337 to 879 of the family's 1478-position model. The record is from RNAcentral.
AGGCGCGAAAACUCCGCAAUAUGUGAAAGCAUGACGGGGUCAUCCCGAGUGCCAUCUGCUGAAGGUGGCUUUUGCCCAGUGUAAUGAUCUGUGUGAAUAAGGGGAGGGCAAGUCUGGUGUCAGCCGCCGCGGCUAAUACCAGCUCCUCGAGUGGUUGGGACGAUUAUUGGGUCUGAAGCGUCCGUAGCCGGCCGGAAAAGUUCUCCGUUAAACCCAGCGAUUCAAUCGUUGGACCGCGGGGAAUACUCUUCGGCUUGGGGGCGGGGGAAGUCGGCGGUAGUCCGGGGGUACGGGCGAAAUCCUAUCAUCCUCGGAGGACCACCAGUGGCGAAGGCGGCCGACCAAAACGCGCCCGACGGUGAGGGACGAAAGCUGGGGGAGCGAACGGGAUUAGAUACCCCGGGUAGUCCCAUCUGUAAACGAUGUGGGCUAGGUGUUGGGACGGGUACGGCCCGUCUCAGUGCCGCAGGGAAGCCGUUAAGCCCACCACUCUGGGAAGUACGGCCGCAAGGCUGAAACUUAAAGGAAUUGGCGGGGGAGCAC